This 468-nucleotide ribosomal RNA is filed under the name uncultured bacterium. RNAcentral's name for it is "partial 16S ribosomal RNA". It matches the Rfam family "Bacterial small subunit ribosomal RNA", at positions 28 to 507 of the family's 1533-position model. The record is from RNAcentral.
GACGAACGCUGGCGGCGUGCUUAACACAUGCAAGUCGAACGGAAAGGCCCUGCUUUUGUUGCGUGCUCGAGUGGCGAACGGGUGAGUAACACGUGAGUAACCUGCCCUUGACUUUGGGAUAACUUCAGGAAACUGGGGCUAAUACCGUAUAGGAGCUCCUGCUGCAUGGUGGGGGUUGGAAAGUUUCGGCGGUUGGGGAUGGACUCGCGGCUUAUCAGCUUGUUGGUGGGGUAGUGGCUUACCAAGGCUUUGACGGGUAGCCGGCUUGGGAGGGUGACCGGCAACAUGGGGACUGGGAUACGGCCAGGACUCCAACGGGAGGCAGCAGUGGGAAAUAUUGCAAAAUGGGCGGAAGCCUGAUGAAGCACCGCUGCGUGCGGGAUGAGGGCUUUCGGGUUGUAACCCGCUUCAGCCGGUGACGAAGCGUGAGUGACGGUAAUGGGUAAAGAAGCACCGGCUAACUACGUG